This 497-nucleotide ribosomal RNA is filed under the name uncultured bacterium. Its description in RNAcentral is "partial 16S ribosomal RNA". It matches the Rfam family "Bacterial small subunit ribosomal RNA", at positions 28 to 507 of the family's 1533-position model. The record is from RNAcentral.
GAUGAACGCUGGCGGCGUGCCUAAUACAUGCAAGUCGAGCGAACAGACGAGGAGCUUGCUCCUCUGACGUUAGCGGCGGACGGGUGAGUAACACGUGGAUAACCUACCUAUAAGACUGGGAUAACUUCGGGAAACCGGAGCUAAUACCGGAUAAUAUAUUGAACCGCAUGGUUCAAUAGUUAAAGACGGUUUUGCUGUCACUUAUAGAUGGAUCCGCGCCGCAUUAGCUAGUUGGUAAGGUAACGGCUUACCAAGGCGACGAUGCGUAGCCGACCUGAGAGGGUGAUCGGCCACACUGGAACUGAGACACGGUCCAGACUCCUACGGGAGGCAGCAGUAGGGAAUAUUCCGCAAUGGGCGAAAGCAUGACGGAGCAACGCCGCGUGAGUGAUGAAGGUCUUCGGAUCGUAAAACUCUGUUAUUAGGGAAGAACAAAUGUGUAAGUAACUAUGCACGUAUUGACGGUACCUAAUCAGAAAGCAACGGCUAACUACGUG